This 69-nucleotide transfer RNA is filed under the name Rattus norvegicus (Norway rat). It matches the Rfam family "tRNA". Rfam says of the family: Transfer RNA (tRNA) molecules are approximately 80 nucleotides in length. Their secondary structure includes four short double-helical elements and three loops (D, anti-codon, and T loops). The record is from Rfam by way of RNAcentral. Lineage: Eukaryota; Metazoa; Chordata; Mammalia; Rodentia; Muridae.
GGGGAUCUAGCUCAGUGGUAGAGUGCUUGCCUAGCAAGCACAAGGCCCUGGGUUCGGUCCCCAGCUCCG